UUAAGCGACUAAGCGUACACGGUGGAUGCCCUGGCAGUCAGAGGCGAUGAAGGACGUGCUAAUCUGCGAUAAGCGUCGGUAAGGUGAUAUGAACCGUUAUAACCGGCGAUUUCCGAAUGGGGAAACCCAGUGUGAUUCGUCACACUAUCAUUAACUGAAUCCAUAGGUUAAUGAGGCGAACCGGGGGAACUGAAACAUCUAAGUACCCCGAGGAAAAGAAAUCAACCGAGAUUCCCCCAGUAGCGGCGAGCGAACGGGGAGCAGCCCAGAGCCUGAAUCAGUGUGUGUGUUAGUGGAAGCGUCUGGAAAGGCGUGCGAUACAGGGUGACAGCCCCGUACACAAAAAUGCACAUACUGUGAGCUCGAUGAGUAGGGCGGGACACGUGGUAUCCUGUCUGAAUAUGGGGGGACCAUCCUCCAAGGCUAAAUACUCCUGACUGACCGAUAGUGAACCAGUACCGUGAGGGAAAGGCGAAAAGAACCCCGGCGAGGGGAGUGAAAAAGAACCUGAAACCGUGUACGUACAAGCAGUGGGAGCACGCUUAGGCGUGUGACUGCGUACCUUUUGUAUAAUGGGUCAGCGACUUAUAUUCUGUAGCAAGGUUAACCGAAUAGGGGAGCCGAAGGGAAACCGAGUCUUAACUGGGCGUUAAGUUGCAGGGUAUAGACCCGAAACCCGGUGAUCUAGCCAUGGGCAGGUUGAAGGUUGGGUAACACUAACUGGAGGACCGAACCGACUAAUGUUGAAAAAUUAGCGGAUGACUUGUGGCUGGGGGUGAAAGGCCAAUCAAACCGGGAGAUAGCUGGUUCUCCCCGAAAGCUAUUUAGGUAGCGCCUCGUGAAUUCAUCUCCGGGGGUAGAGCACUGUUUCGGCAAGGGGGUCAUCCCGACUUACCAACCCGAUGCAAACUGCGAAUACCGGAGAAUGUUAUCACGGGAGACACACGGCGGGUGCUAACGUCCGUCGUGAAGAGGGAAACAACCCAGACCGCCAGCUAAGGUCCCAAAGUCAUGGUUAAGUGGGAAACGAUGUGGGAAGGCCCAGACAGCCAGGAUGUUGGCUUAGAAGCAGCCAUCAUUUAAAGAAAGCGUAAUAGCUCACUGGUCGAGUCGGCCUGCGCGGAAGAUGUAACGGGGCUAAACCAUGCACCGAAGCUGCGGCAGCGACACUAUGUGUUGUUGGGUAGGGGAGCGUUCUGUAAGCCUGUGAAGGUGUACUGUGAGGUAUGCUGGAGGUAUCAGAAGUGCGAAUGCUGACAUAAGUAACGAUAAAGCGGGUGAAAAGCCCGCUCGCCGGAAGACCAAGGGUUCCUGUCCAACGUUAAUCGGGGCAGGGUGAGUCGACCCCUAAGGCGAGGCCGAAAGGCGUAGUCGAUGGGAAACAGGUUAAUAUUCCUGUACUUGGUGUUACUGCGAAGGGGGGACGGAGAAGGCUAUGUUGGCCGGGCGACGGUUGUCCCGGUUUAAGCGUGUAGGCUGGUUUUCCAGGCAAAUCCGGAAAAUCAAGGCUGAGGCGUGAUGACGAGGCACUACGGUGCUGAAGCAACAAAUGCCCUGCUUCCAGGAAAAGCCUCUAAGCAUCAGGUAACAUCAAAUCGUACCCCAAACCGACACAGGUGGUCAGGUAGAGAAUACCAAGGCGCUUGAGAGAACUCGGGUGAAGGAACUAGGCAAAAUGGUGCCGUAACUUCGGGAGAAGGCACGCUGAUAUGUAGGUGAAGUCCCUCGCGGAUGGAGCUGAAAUCAGUCGAAGAUACCAGCUGGCUGCAACUGUUUAUUAAAAACACAGCACUGUGCAAACACGAAAGUGGACGUAUACGGUGUGACGCCUGCCCGGUGCCGGAAGGUUAAUUGAUGGGGUCAGCGCAAGCGAAGCUCUUGAUCGAAGCCCCGGUAAACGGCGGCCGUAACUAUAACGGUCCUAAGGUAGCGAAAUUCCUUGUCGGGUAAGUUCCGACCUGCACGAAUGGCGUAAUGAUGGCCAGGCUGUCUCCACCCGAGACUCAGUGAAAUUGAACUCGCUGUGAAGAUGCAGUGUACCCGCGGCAAGACGGAAAGACCCCGUGAACCUUUACUAUAGCUUGACACUGAACAUUGAGCCUUGAUGUGUAGGAUAGGUGGGAGGCUUUGAAGUGUGGACGCCAGUCUGCAUGGAGCCGACCUUGAAAUACCACCCUUUAAUGUUUGAUGUUCUAACGUUGACCCGUAAUCCGGGUUGCGGACAGUGUCUGGUGGGUAGUUUGACUGGGGCGGUCUCCUCCUAAAGAGUAACGGAGGAGCACGAAGGUUGGCUAAUCCUGGUCGGACAUCAGGAGGUUAGUGCAAUGGCAUAAGCCAGCUUGACUGCGAGCGUGACGGCGCGAGCAGGUGCGAAAGCAGGUCAUAGUGAUCCGGUGGUUCUGAAUGGAAGGGCCAUCGCUCAACGGAUAAAAGGUACUCCGGGGAUAACAGGCUGAUACCGCCCAAGAGUUCAUAUCGACGGCGGUGUUUGGCACCUCGAUGUCGGCUCAUCACAUCCUGGGGCUGAAGUAGGUCCCAAGGGUAUGGCUGUUCGCCAUUUAAAGUGGUACGCGAGCUGGGUUUAGAACGUCGUGAGACAGUUCGGUCCCUAUCUGCCGUGGGCGCUGGAGAACUGAGGGGGGCUGCUCCUAGUACGAGAGGACCGGAGUGGACGCAUCACUGGUGUUCGGGUUGUCAUGCCAAUGGCACUGCCCGGUAGCUAAAUGCGGAAGAGAUAAGUGCUGAAAGCAUCUAAGCACGAAACUUGCCCCGAGAUGAGUUCUCCCUGACUCCUUGAGAGUCCUGAAGGAACGUUGAAGACGACGACGUUGAUAGGCCGGGUGUGUAAGCGCAGCGAUGCGUUGAGCUAACCGGUACUAAUGAACCGUGAGGCUUAACCUU
Molecule: ribosomal RNA, 2901 nt
Filed under: Escherichia coli
Lineage: Bacteria; Pseudomonadati; Pseudomonadota; Gammaproteobacteria; Enterobacterales; Enterobacteriaceae
Also listed under: 1 other name
Description: bacterial LSU rRNA
Rfam family: Bacterial large subunit ribosomal RNA
Source: RNAcentral